GACGUAGGGCGCAAGCGUUGUCCGGAUUUAUUGGGCGUAAAGAGCUCGUAGGCGGUCUGUUGCGUCGGCUGUGAAAACCCGGGGCUCAACCCCGGGCCUGCAGCCGAUACGGGCAGACUAGAGUUCGGCAGGGGAGACUGGAAUUCCUGGUGUAGCGGUGAAAUGCGCAGAUAUCAGGAGGAACACCGGUGGCGAAGGCGGGUCUCUGGGCCGAUACUGACGCUGAGGAGCGAAAGCGUGGGGAGCGAACAGG
This 253-nucleotide ribosomal RNA is filed under the name uncultured bacterium. RNAcentral's name for it is "partial 16S ribosomal RNA". It matches the Rfam family "Bacterial small subunit ribosomal RNA", at positions 524 to 776 of the family's 1533-position model. The record is from RNAcentral.